Molecule: long non-coding RNA, 3406 nt
Organism: Mobula hypostoma (lesser devil ray)
Lineage: Eukaryota; Metazoa; Chordata; Chondrichthyes; Myliobatiformes; Myliobatidae
Exons: 3
Source: RefSeq, a predicted model, not a curated record
CCCAGGCUACUGUGGGAGGUGAGGGAGGAGAUUGCUGAGCCUCUGGCGAUGAUGUUUGCAUCAUCAAUGGGGAUGGGAGAGGUUCUGGAGGAUUGGAGGGUUGCAAAUGUUGUUCCUUUAUUCAAGAAAGGGAUUCGAGAUAGCCCAGGAAAUUAUAGACCAGUGAGUCUUACCUCAGUGGUUGGUAAGUUGAUGGAGAAGAUCCUGAGAGGAAGGAUUUAUGAACAUUUGCAGAGAUAUAAUAUGAUUAGGAAUAGUCAGCGUGGCUUUGUCAAGGGCAGGUCAUGCCUUAAAAGUUGAAUUGAAUUUUUUAAGGAUAUAACUCAACACAUUGAUGAAGGAAGAGCUGUAGAUAUAGUGUAUAUGGAUUUCAGCAAGGCAUUUGAUAAGGUACCCCAUUCAAGGCUUAUUGGGAAAGUAAGGAGGCACGGGAUCCAAGGGGACAUUGCUUUGUGGAUCCAGAACUGGCUUGCCCACAGAAAGGCAAAGAGUGGUUGUAGAUGGGUUAUAUUCUGCAUGGACGCCGGUCACCAGUGGAGUGCCUCAGGGACCUGUUCUGGGACCCUUACUCUUCAUGAUUUUUAUAAGUGAACUGGACGACGAAGUGGAGGGAUGAGUUAGUAAGUUUGCUGAUGACACAAAGCUUGGGGGUGUUGUGGAUAGUGUGGAGGGUUGUCAGAGGUUACACUGGGACAUUGAUAGGAUGCAAAACUGGACUGAGAAAUGGCAGAUGGAAUUCAACCCAGAUAAGUGUGAAGUGGUUCAUUUUGGUAGGUCAAAUAUGGUGGCAGAAUAUAGCAUUAAUGGUAAGACUCUUGGCAGUGUGGAGGAUCAAAGGGAUCUUGGGGUCCGAGUCCAUAGGACACUCAAAGCAGCUGCGCAGGUUGACUUUGUGGUUAAGAAGGCAUACGGUGUAUUGGCCUUCAUCAAUCGUGGAAUUGAAUUUAGGAUCCGAGAGGUAAUGUUGCAGCUAUAUAGGACCCUGGUCAGACUCCACUUGGAGUACUGUGCUCAGUUCUGGUCGCCUCAUUCCAGGAAGGGUGUGGAAGCCAUAGAAAGGGUGCAGAGGAGAUUUACAAGGAUGUUGCCUGGACUGGGCAGCAUAACUUAUGAGAGUAGGUUGAAUGAACUCAGCCUUUUCUCCUUGGAGCGACGGAGGAUGAGAGGUGACCUGAUAGAGGUGUAUAAGUUGAUGAGAGGCAUUGAUUGUGUGGAAAGUCAGAGGCUUCUUCCCAGGGCUGAAAUGGUUGCCACAAGAAGACACAGGUUUAAGGUGCUGGGGAGUAAAUUCAGAGGAGAUGUCAGGGGUAAGUUUUUUACUCAGAGAGUGCUGAGUGCGUGGAAUGGGCUGCUGGCAACAGUGGUGGAGGCGGAUACAACAGGGUCUUUUAAGAGACUUUUGGAUAGGUAUAUGGAGCUCAGAAAAAUAGAGGGCUAUAGGUAAGCCUAGUAAUUUCUAAGGUAGGGACAUGUUCGGCACAACUUUGUAGGCCGAAGGCCCUGUAUUGUGCUGUGGGUUUUCUAUGUUUCUAUGUUUCUAACUCCUCUCUCAUGCCUCUAUAAUUCCCUUUACUCCACUAUUAGGUAUCGGUUAGUCUCAUGAGACCAUGGAUUUGCACCUUGGAAGAUUUCCAGGGUGCAGGCCUCGGCAAGGUUGUAUGGAAGACCGGCAGUUGCCCAUGCUGCAAGUCUCCCCUCUCCACGCCACUGAUGUUGGCCAAGAGAAGGGCAUUAGGAUCCUUACAGUUUGGCACUGGUGUCGUCACAGAGCAAUGUGUGGUUAAGUGCCACUAUAAUACACAUACAUCUGACUUUAGCUUCUCCUUCUCAAAUUUCAGAGUGAAUUUGAUCAUAUUAUUAUCACCUUCAGUCCUGUAUUCACCCUUUUUGAUUUUGUCCACCUUUUACAUUGCAACUCAUCCUGUUGACUGCAAUUUUGCCUUAUCAUCAGCCUCUCGUUGUUGGAGUCACUCUACACAUUGCCUCUGUUUGUAAACCAACUACUUAAUCUUCAGUGCUAUCACUCUGGUUCCCAUCCCCCUGCACUCCAGGUUAUUGGACCCACUCAGGUUCAGGUGUAGCCUAUCCCUUUUGUACAGGUCAUACCUUACCAGAAGAGAUGCCAAUGAUCCAGAAAUCUCAACCCCUCCCCCAUGCACCAGUACCUCAGCCAUGCAUUCAUGUGUGUAAUCAUUCUAUUCCUACCCUCACUGGCAUAUGACACAGGUAGAGAUUACUACCCUGGAGGUCCUGUUUUUUAGUUUUCUACCUACUUCUCUAAAAUGUCUCUUUAGGACCUCCUCACCUUUUCUACCUAUGUCAUUGGUGCUAAUAUGCGCCAGGAAUUCUGGCUGCUCACCCUCACCCUUGAGAAUGCUGUGGACCCGAUCCAAGACACCCUGAUCCUGGCAUAGGGAAGCAACAUACCAUCCAGAUAUCUCUAUUGUGCCCAGAGAACCUCAUCUCUGUUCCUCUGACUAAGGGAUCUCCUAUCAACACUGCGGACAGUUUUACCUCUUUGAUCUUCUGAGACUGCUUAUGUUCAGGAGUUUACCUGUCACUGGACACUCAAGAGACUACAGAUACUGGAACCUGGAGCAAUACAAAAAGCGCCGGAGGAUCUCAGUGGAUUAGGAAGCAUCUAUGGAGGGAAAUGGACAGUGGAUGUUUUGGAUCAACACAAUUCAUCAAGGGUCCCCAGUUUUUUGGCUCUGAAACCAGAUCCACCGUGGCAUUCACAGGAAAAUAAAGAAAUAUAACGGAAUUUGUGAAAAACUAUACAUAAAUAAAGACCAACGAACAAUCAGCAUGCAAAAGAAGUCAAAUUGUGCAAAUGAAAAUAUGGAAUCAGUUCAGAGCUGAGGUGCAAAGAUUGGUGCUGGCAGUUUUGCCAAUUGCUGCCAGGUUUCUGUGUUGCGUCUAUAAUUUUCCCUUUUCAGUAGUAUUGGAGAGUGAAGACUUUAUUAAAGGACGGGAACCUGAAGGAUCGGAAUAAAGUUGGAGUCGUUCGGCAGCUUUAUAAAGGAUUGACCUUACUGAGGAUUCAUUUUUAGAAAUGGUGACCUGUAUCUGAGAUAACUCCUGCAAGAGCAGGGAAGUUUGAGCAGUGUCUACUCGCCAGGAAAAGGUCAGUUCCUUUAAGCCGUAUUAUAUCCUUCAUCGUGAAUCCUUUGGAGAAUCAGCAGUAACGUCACAUCUUCGAAGAAAUCCGUUUCCAGAGAAGUCUCUCCUUAUCGACUGUGUAAAUCACUGGGACUUUUGCAUUUACCCUUUUAAGACUAGGUUUGAAUUUACCACUUUAAGAACUGUUUUUGCAUUUACCUUUUUAAUUACUGUUCCAGAGUUGCCGUAUAGCAGUUAACGUCCGGUUAUGUUAGUCGUUUGAAUAUUUUUCGCUAUUUGUUGA